This 485-nucleotide ribosomal RNA is filed under the name uncultured bacterium. Its description in RNAcentral is "partial 16S ribosomal RNA". It matches the Rfam family "Bacterial small subunit ribosomal RNA", at positions 29 to 523 of the family's 1533-position model. The record is from RNAcentral.
AGUGAACGCUGGCGGCGUGCUUAACACAUGCAAGUCGAACGAGAACGGAAUAUAGCUUGCUAUAUUUGUCAGCUAAGUGGCGCACGGGUGAGUAAUGUAUAGAUAACCUGCCCUUAAGAAAGGAAUAACAGUUGGAAACGACUGCUAAUGCCCUAUAUGCCUUUAAUACAUAAGUAUGCAAGGGAAACGCUUUAGUGCUUAAGGAUGGGUCUGUAUGGUAUCAGCUUGUUGGUGAGGUAAUGGCUCACCAAGGCUAUGACGCCUAACUGGUUUGAGAUGAUGAUCAGUCACACUGGAACUGAGACACGGUCCAGACUCCUACGGGAGGCAGCAGUGGUGAAUAUUGCGCAAUGGACGAAAGUCUGAUGCAGCAACGCCGCGUGGAGGAUGACACAUUUCGGUGCGUAAACUCCUUUUAUAUAGGAAGAUAAUGACGGUACUAUAUGAAUAAGCACCGGCUAACUCCGUGCCAGCCGCCGCCGUAA